GAUCCUGGCUCAGGACGAACGCUGGCGGCGUGCCUAACACAUGCAAGUCGAGCGGGGGAAUAUUGAGCAGCUUGCUGCUUGAUAUUUUCUAGCGGCGGACGGGUGAGUAACGCGUGAGCAACCUGCUUUUAUCAGGGGGAUAACGCAUCGAAAGAUGUGCUAAUACCGCGUAAGACCACAGCUUCACAUGGAGCAGAGGUCAAAGGAGCAAUCCGGAUAAAGA
RNAcentral lists this ribosomal RNA (223 nucleotides) under uncultured bacterium. Its description in RNAcentral is "partial 16S ribosomal RNA". It matches the Rfam family "Bacterial small subunit ribosomal RNA", at positions 15 to 225 of the family's 1533-position model. The record is from RNAcentral.